This 80-nucleotide transfer RNA is filed under the name Pellia epiphylla. RNAcentral's name for it is "tRNA-Leu". It matches the Rfam family "tRNA". From Rfam's summary of the family: Transfer RNA (tRNA) molecules are approximately 80 nucleotides in length. RNAcentral also lists the same sequence under 1 other name. Lineage: Eukaryota; Viridiplantae; Streptophyta; Jungermanniopsida; Pelliales; Pelliaceae. The record is from RNAcentral.
GCCUUGAUGGUGAAAUGGUAGACAUGCAAAAUUCAAAAUUUUGUGCUUCAAGCAUGGAGGUUCGAGUCCUCUUCAAGGCA